RNAcentral lists this long non-coding RNA (4482 nucleotides) under Brassica napus (rape). RNAcentral describes it as "long non-coding RNA (BNAP_LNC018290)". Lineage: Eukaryota; Viridiplantae; Streptophyta; Magnoliopsida; Brassicales; Brassicaceae. The record is from RNAcentral.
AUCUCCUUCUCUUGCUCAUCACCUCGCAGCAUCCUCUCAACUCUUCCACCACCUCCAAAAUCCACCAUUUCAGCUAUGAUCUCUGUCUGAAAGCGACUGUUGACCAGAUAAUUCACAGAGAGGUGAAGAUGCAUUGAGAUGCUGUCAACAAUUCUCUGCAAGACGAUAGGCCAGUAGGCUGCAAUCCUCAUCUUCAUUCCAAACGUCUUUUGCAGUAAAUGAGCGUGAUACUUGCGUAUAUGCAUCAUAACAAACAAAGCAGCAAUUUAAUAAUUCUAGUUGACCUAGUAAACAGUAGUAAUAAGCAAACUACCAGUUUCAAGUCGUCUAGAGACCUAUCCAGAUAGUUAGUCAUAGAUACCAAAGGAGAGAAAAACCUGAUACAAUUCUGGACUUGUGAGCUUCAGAGAAGUAGACCAAAAUUAAGUAUGUAAUCCCAUGUCUUCAUGAGAAGAGAAAAAUUACAUGUGAUUGAUAGGCAAAGCAAAAAAAUAUUAACUUGACAACACACGAUAUAUAAAAUAGAGCCAAUAAGAGAAACUUACUUGCAAGGGUCAGCUCACGAGUGUAUUCUCAAACAAUGGAGGAAAACUUCUGAAUUUAGGAAAAAGAACCUGAAAGAACAUAGCAAAGUGAGCAGCACACAUCAGAACAUUUCAAUCUAAACCAGUUCUGACAGGUUCUACACACAAUAACAAUCAAAAAGUAAUAGAUCUUCAUUACAAUGAUAACCUAAAUGAUCUCGGUCUCAUAUAAUCAAACUCUGGCGAGACUGACCAUCAAUAUUUUCCCUCCUCAAACAAAAUAUGGAAAGUGAAAUGGAAUCAAAGCAGAGUUUAAAGAGUACAUACUUUAAGCUGAUAAUAGAUCACUACAAUUGGUCAUUGGUAGAAAAAUAUAGGCAACGUCCUCAGUGAUCAGAUAAAACUAACAUCGAAAUCAUUAUGGAAGUACCUAAGGCAAGAGUGGAUGUAUUGUUUCCCUUUAGUGGCUUCAUCUAGAUCUGCAAAUUCAUACAACACAAGAAAAGCAGUUCUAAGUUGAUUGUUCAUUUAUAAACAGAAAACUGAAUCUAUUGCUUUAAGGCCUUAAUAAGAGUGCUGUUUUUAAUCUUACCGGUUUCCUGAAAGCGUCUUGCAACAUCUCCAAAGCAACUCAUAUGAUCAACUGGGCUUCCAGACUUCCCGUAGACUAUAACACCAUCAAAGAGCCCUCAUUAGCUACGCAAAUAAGCCAUCAUGUGAAAAAAGAAACAGCUUCUAGAUCACAAACAGAACAAAAGCAACAGACUUGUCAAUGUUUUCAUGGUGGACUUCUCAAGAAUCACGCUGCCUAGUCCAGCUGUUAAAUGAUAAACAGCCAAAAGUUUUAUAUAGAGUAAUGCAUAUAAAUAUGCCUGCUUCUAACAAAUUACACUUGCAACAAAACAACUCUCAUGGAAAAUAAGAAACCAAGAAUAUUGAUACAGUUGGAACCUUUUCAAAUUAAAAGUAAAGAGAUGAUCGGAAUAAGACUUUCAACCUACCUAGAGAAAUAGUGCUGAAAAUCAUGUUUUUCUAGAGAAUCCUUUUUUCUUCCAAUCCAGCUUAUCAAUCCCUAAAUCCAUAGAACACUCAAUAUUAAAAAGUAGUCAUUAAUCGUACCUCUGAAUAUUAUCUUGCCGCUAAUGAAUUACCUCUACUACUUCAUAUAAAGGUUGAUAUAUCAUUGGCUGGGGCACGCUCAUCUGUUCCAGUUCACUCUGCAAUUCUGUAUAACAUAAAGCCACAUUAGUAAAGUAAAAGUCAGUGAACAGAACCAUGAAUAAUGCAGAGAUGGUUUGAGUUUUAUAUACUGAAAAGAGUCUCUUCGUCCAAGUUAACGCUUCCUGCUUCACGAGCAAUGUCUUCCAUAUUGCUAUGUACAGAGGAAGUGUUUAGUCCAUGGACUUAACCACCAACAUCAGAAACUUGUUGCCAACUAAUGUUUCAUAUAUAAGUGCAAAUAUAUUAAACCUACACAAAAGGUUAUGAAGCUUACUGUGCUUCAUCAAAUAUUAUAAUCGCUCCUUUCAGAUCUACUUCAACUCCUGCUCGAAUGACAGGAUUAACUAUGUAUGAAUAAGGGAAAAAAACCAGUUCUGCAUUCUCCGCCAAUGACCAGGCAGCAUAAUAUGGACAGCCUACAAAAAGAUUAUCUGAGAUUAAGAAAUAGAAAAGUAAAACAAACUAAAACUAAAAAUGAAACCAAAUCUCACCUCUAACACUUUUCCCAACUUUGACAAACUCUUCAAUAUCGUGAACUUCAUUAAAACCUCUCUACUGAAGUGAAGGGUGAGAUGUGAUUUUACUAACGUCAUAUUAAAAAAUAAAAAAAUACCACACCAACAAUUAAUCAGAGGGACUAAAUCGUUACCACAGUGGAACUGGAUCUUAACUAACAGAAAUCUAGCAAUUUUUAGGAAGUUGAUGGGUCAGUGGAAUUGAUUCGUAAAAAAAUAAAAAGAGGAAGUCAAUGUCAUACCUGCUCAUCGAUCAGAAGGAGUUCUACGACGAUUAGUGGUUUCAGCCGCUCUUACUGCUAGGUUUCGAUCUUGAUAGGAUUUAGGAUUAGACGAAGCCAUUUAUAUUGGAGGAGGAUGAACGGAAGUUGGAAUGAAACCAACCAGAAGGUAUAAAAAGCAUCAUUGAUUAAUAGGGGGUUACAGAGAUGGAAGAUAGAGCGAUUACAGAGAAUGGAGAAGUUGAAGAUGAAUUGGAAUUGGAAUUGGAAUUGUCGGGCUCGACUUGCCACGAUAAAUUUUUUGGAAACCACACCGAAGCCCAUUUUAUCUAGACAACUCUGUUCUGACGUGGCAAAAAAAAAAUGUUUUUAUUGGUUGAUUUUUUGAUCCCACGUGGCAUGCUUCUCCAAGGCUUAUAUUGUGCUUUUAGUAUUGUAUUACACUUGCAACAAAACAACUCUCAUGGAAAAUAAGAAACCAAGAAUAUUGAUACAGUUGCAAGUUUUAAAAAAUAACCAAAAUACCGUUUAUGUAACGAUUUUUUCACGAUUUCUGCAUUUUUAUAUAUUAUUUUAAAUAACCAUUUAAUAUAUAUUAUUCUAUUUUAAAAUUCAGAUUUGAAUAUAUCCAAAUUUGAAAACGAUUUCAAAUAUUUUUUAGAUCUCGUUUUAUAUCACUCGAAUAUUUCUCUAUAGCAUAACUUUUUAUGCGUUAAAUGUUGAUAUACAUUUUAGAAAAUAUUGUUGAGAAUAGAAAAAUAAUACUAUCUUAAAUGUUUACAGAUAGCUGGUAUUUAUGUAUUCUGAUUCAAAAAAUUUAACUGUUUAAAUUUCGGUUCAGUUUAUUACGAUUAUUGAACGGUUCAGUUUCUUAUGAUUGUUGAUUUGUUCAUGUGUUGCAGAGAUGGGGAUAACGAUCUUGGAGGGGGAGCUGACGACAAAUGCUUCAAAUCUUGCCAAUAACCAGUCUUCAAAAUAAAAUGAACUAAACCGGUAUUAUGAUCUACGAAAAACAUGACAAAUGCCAUAACUCAAAUUAACAUGUUUAGAUAAUAAAUAUGGUAUGACCGGUUACUAAAUGUAUAACUGUUAGCAAUUUCACCGGUUUAAUAAAAUAAACACGAGAAUCAAAUAAUCUUAAGCAUUGUUCAAUAGUUUUCAAAGGAAAUAUUAAUGUUAUUUCUUUCUUUUUUUUUCAACUAUAAAAUGUUAUAUCUUUUGUACUUCAAAUUUUAAUAAGAUGGAUAAAUAUAUGUCCGGAAUUGCAUUUCCACAUUAUCACCUACUAAAAUAAGUCGCUGAAUUUCCCUUUUGGUUCAGUACAAAACUUUGGAAUAAAUAAACUGUUUCCUUUAGGUUUGAAUCAAAUUUGGUUUGGUUUUGUUGAGUUUUUGUCUGUUGUGGGAUCGGUUGGUUUGGUUUGGUUUUUAUUUAAACUUCACAACGCUAGGAGGUGAGCAAGUUCUAUUUGUUUUUUUUUUGUUUUGCUAAACAAAUAAUUCUUACAAUAAUGAGAACUUCAAUUAUUGCACGUAAACUAUACCAUCGUGUUUGAAUCAUUGUUAUCUCCUUGCAAAGAUUGAUAACGCAAUCACUUCCUAAAAUAAAGGAAAAAAAAGACAUCAGAAAACCAAUCAAACCGAAGCCACUCAUAACACAAACUUUACGAAAACCGAAGCCAAUUUUGUUUUAACCAAGAGGAAUGGCUAAACGACCUCAACACUAUCCUUCAAGAGACCGAUACGGCUCUUCAUUAUCUCCUUCUCUUGCUCAUCACCUCGCAGCAUCCUCUCAACUCUUCCACCACCUCCAAAAUCCACCAUUUCAGCUAUGAUCUCUGUCUGAAAGCGACUGUUGACCAGAUAAUUCACAGAGAGGUGAAGAUGCAUUGAGAUGCUGUCAACAAUUCUCUGCAAGACGAUAGGCCAGUAGGCUGCAAUCCUCAUCUUCAUUCCAAACGUCUUUUGCAGUAAAUGAGCGUGAUACUUGCGUAUAUGCAUC